GAUGAACGCUGGCGGCGUGCCUAAUACAUGCAAGUCGAGCGAACGGACGAGAAGCUUGCUUCUCUGAUGUUUGCGGCGGACGGGUGAGUCACACGUGUAUAACCUACCUAUAAGACUGGUAUAACUUCGGGAAACCGGCGCUAAUACCGGAUAAUCUUUUGAACCGCAUGGUUCAAAAGUGAAAGACGGUCUUGCUGGCACUUAUAGAUGGAUCCGCGCUGCAUUAGCUAGUUGGUAAGGUAACGGCUUACCAAGGCUACGAUGCAUAGCCGACCUGAGAGGGUGAUCGGCCACACUGGAACUGAGACACGGUCCAGACUCCUACGGGAGGCAGCAGUAGGGAAUCUUCCGCAAUGGGCGAAAGCCUGACGGAGCAACGCCGCGUGAGGGAUGAAGGUCUUCGGAUCGUAAAUCUCUGUUAUUAGGGAAGAACAUAUGUGUAAGUAACUGUGCACAUCUUGACGGUACCUAAUCAGAAAGGCACGGCUAACUACGUG
Molecule: ribosomal RNA, 497 nt
Filed under: uncultured bacterium
Lineage: Bacteria
Description: partial 16S ribosomal RNA
Rfam family: Bacterial small subunit ribosomal RNA
Source: RNAcentral